UUCAAUACUGUUUCUUCGCGGAAAUGGUGUGCACUUUUCUCUUAGUAAGACGUUGUGAUCCAUUAGGAAUAGAUUUGCCCCAUUGGCGGCUUAUCGUUGGGCUACCAAUAGGCUGACAUUGAAGUUCGCCCAGUCGAAUGGCACGAUCUUUUGGUUGUGCGUAUCAACGGACGAGCAAUGUCAUGUACACUGAUGUAGCUGCCUGAUGGAUUUUAAAGGCCACAUCAUUGAUGCCAUUGUGCAUCACCCGUGCAAACGGGCUACAGGAUGUGUGCCCGAUCAACAACGGUUUCAUUUGGGAUACCUUUUGGACCCGUCUUGAAACACGGACCAAGGAGUCUAUCUAGUAUGCGAGUAAAUGGGAUUAACGAACUAAACCUAUUUGCAUAAAUAACUUGACUGUUUCAAUGGGAUUACGUGCACAUCUGUCUGUUAUAGAGUGUGCACCUCCAUCCCGGGGUAUUUUCAUCACAUAUAUGGGCAACUAUAUAUAGAAAAUAUACCAUGAGCAUACUGGACAUGACCCGAAAGAUGGUGAACUAUGCCUGAUCAGGUUGAAGUCAGGGGAAACCCUGAUGGAGGACCGAAGCAAUUCUGACGUGCAAAUCG
This 609-nucleotide ribosomal RNA is filed under the name Ablabesmyia sp. EACH1. RNAcentral's name for it is "partial large subunit ribosomal RNA". It matches the Rfam family "Eukaryotic large subunit ribosomal RNA", at positions 477 to 900 of the family's 3401-position model. The record is from RNAcentral. Lineage: Eukaryota; Metazoa; Arthropoda; Insecta; Diptera; Chironomidae.